UAGAAAUGGGAUUAGGGUUCAGUAUGUGACCUUUCAGCUUUCAAUCAGAUCUCCUUCUUCCCUUUCUUGUGAGCAGUGGCGGCAUCGGGUUCUUCAUCCCAUUCUUCUCUGAUCGAAACAUUGCGACGCUACCGGCCGGCCACCACCGAACAAACCAUCUCACCCUCUCCGAUUGUUCCAUCUCCGUCUCGCACUCUUCUCUUCGUCCUCAGCUCUCAUCUCUCUCCGUUGAAGACGCUUCAACCGCGUCGUUGCUGACGAUGGAGUUUCAGAUGCAAGCCAAUCGAGAAAUAUCCUCGGUUGCAUAUGAUCUAUGAUGACGAGAUAGUGUGUUGAUGAUGAUGAAGAUGAUAACCGAAAAACGAAAGGGAGAUAUUAGGAGAUGAAGGUUCUUGUAGGUUGAUUGAAAGAUUAUUGAUGAUGAUGAAGCUGCGGUAGCAUGAUGAUGGAGCUGAAGAAGGAUUCUGAAUCGUGACCAGAAACAAAGGAAAUUCAAGAUUGAAACGCUGGUUGAUGGAAGAAGAUGAAGCUCGUGAAAGAGGAGAGGUUUAAAUUCAGAUUUCUAUUGAGAAUUGGUUAGAGGUUCUCUGAGUUUUUUUUGUUACGCCUUUUUUGUUCAUCUUCCUCUCAUCCUUUUGGUUCUGUUUUGCAAGGUUUUUUGUUGUGAUGAUUGGAGGAUGAAGAUGAUGAUUUCAGAAGAUUGAAAGUGUGGAGAAAGAAAAGUGGUGUGGAGAUGGAUGAUCAUGAAGAUUCAGAGAGAGUUUGUGGAGAAAUGGUGAAGAAUGAAUCGAGAGGGGAGGUGAAGAAUGGCUCAAGGCUCUGAUUUAUAGAGAUUCUCAGGGUGUUUGAUGCUGUGCCAAAUUUCUGUGAUGUUGAUUCCGUUUCUUAGAAUUGCAGGGUUGGAAGGGUGUGGAUUAUGCAAGCCUAUGGCUCUCGUGCCAAUGGAGCAGUCAUCGAUAGCUGUGGCGUGUCUGAUAGCUGUUGAUGAACGUAUCAUAUGCAUGUGUUCCGGCAUCGAAAACCGCAGCGGCACUGUGUUUAUAUUGGAAGCCAACGAAGCUCGUCCUUGUGAUGAUAAAAAAAUGGAUGGUGAUGACAUAUGAUGCACACGUUCCUUGCUUUGUAACUUUGGAAAUUGUAAAGAGUGUUUUAUUUAUUUAUUUUAUAAGGACUCUGCUCCUGACUUGAAAAUGUAACGAGUAUGGCUUGCACAUGUAAUGGUACUUUACUCUUCACAUAUGACAUUUGAACUUCAGGUUUUCUUCAAUGCUUCAAUCUAAAUUCCCCAAAUAUUUUUCCA
Long non-coding RNA from Vicia villosa (hairy vetch), 1300 nucleotides. RefSeq lists it as uncharacterized. NCBI's taxonomy places the organism in Eukaryota, Viridiplantae, Streptophyta, Magnoliopsida, Fabales, Fabaceae. The transcript is spliced from 3 exons. The record is from RefSeq and is a predicted model, not a curated record.